This 492-nucleotide ribosomal RNA is filed under the name uncultured bacterium. RNAcentral's name for it is "partial 16S ribosomal RNA". It matches the Rfam family "Bacterial small subunit ribosomal RNA", at positions 29 to 507 of the family's 1533-position model. The record is from RNAcentral.
AUUGAACGCUGGCGGCAUGCUUUACGCAUGCAAGUCGAGCGGUAACAGGCCUUCGGGUGCUGACGAGUGGCGAACGGGUGAGUAAUGCAUCGGAACGUACCCAGAGGUGGGGGAUAACGCAGCGAAAGCUGUGCUAAUACCGCAUGUGAUCUGAGGAUGAAAGCGGGGGACCGAGCAGCAAUGUUUGGCCUCGCGCCUUUGGAGCGGCCGAUGUCGGAUUAGCUAGUUGGUGGGGUAAAGGCCUACCAAGGCGACGAUCCGUAGCUGGUCUGAGAGGACGACCAGCCACACUGGGACUGAGACACGGCCCAGACUCCUACGGGAGGCAGCAGUGGGGAAUUUUGGACAAUGGGCGCAAGCCUGAUCCAGCAAUGCCGCGUGCGGGAAGAAGGCCUUCGGGUUGUAAACCGCUUUUGGCAGGAACGAAACGGUGUCCGCUAAUACCGGGCGAUAAUGACGGUACCUGCAGAAUAAGCACCGGCUAACUACGUG